RNAcentral lists this ribosomal RNA (253 nucleotides) under uncultured bacterium. RNAcentral describes it as "partial 16S ribosomal RNA". It matches the Rfam family "Bacterial small subunit ribosomal RNA", at positions 524 to 776 of the family's 1533-position model. The record is from RNAcentral.
UACGGAGGGGGCGAGCGUUAUUCGGAAUUAUUGGGCGUAAAGGGCGCGUAGGCGGCUUGGUAAGUCAAAGGUGAAAUCCCUCGGCUCAACCGAGGAAUUGCCUUUGAAACUGCCUGGCUUGAGGCCGGGAGGGGGUAGCGGAAUUCCCAGUGUAGCGGUGAAAUGCGUGGAUACUGGGAGGAACACCGGUGGCGAAGGCGGCUACCUGGACCGGUUCUGACGCUGAUGCGCGAAAGCGUGGGGAGCAAACAGG